GGUAAUGGCAGGAGUCGGAUAAUGUUCUUCUCUCUUUUAGCAGCCAGGCUCACAGAUAAGGCUAAGGCUACUCUAACAGGAAUAUUUGCAAGGCAAAUCCUGAGUUCCAGUUUCUGACAUGAGUACACCGGAGAUGUUACAAGAUGUCUGAAACAAGGAGCUGGGUUUGGAGAAGAAUAGAUACCCUGUUUUGCUCUCCACUACGACAAGCUGAAAUGUGUUGUGACAUCUAUACGAAAUGAUUUGGAACCAAUCUGAUGCUUCGUGGAGAAGAAAGAGGACACAAAACAAUGGAAGCAACAGUCGGUGUACAGCAGCAUUUGCAGUAGCAAACAAUGAUGGGGAAUCGAUACCCAUAGAGUUAGCUGGAUCCAAGAAUGGGUCGGAGAUGAAGAGGCAUGCGUUGCAUCCAUGUCAACUUUCUCG
This is a non-coding RNA of Musa acuminata subsp. malaccensis (wild Malaysian banana), 426 nucleotides long. The record is from RefSeq and is a predicted model, not a curated record. Lineage: Eukaryota; Viridiplantae; Streptophyta; Magnoliopsida; Zingiberales; Musaceae.